GAUGAACGCUGGCGGCGUGCCUAAUACAUGCAAGUCGAGCGAACAGAUGAGGAGCUUGCUCCUCUGACGUUAGCGGCGGACGGGUGAGUAACACGUGGAUAACCUACCUAUAAGACUGGGAUAACUUCGGGAAACCGGAGCUAAUACCGGAUAAUAUAUUGAACCGCAUGGUUCAAUAGUGAAAGACGGUUUUGCUGUCACUUAUAGAUGGAUCCGCGCCGCAUUAGCUAGUUGGUAAGGUAGCGGCUUACCAAGGCGACGAUGCGUAGCCGACCUGAGAGGGUGAUCGGCCACACUGGAACUGAGACACGGUCCAGACUCCUACGGGAGGCAGCAGUAGGGAAUCUUCCGCAAUGGGCGAAAGCCUGACGGAGCAACGCCGCGUGAGUGAUGAAGGUCUUCGGAUCGUAAAACUCUGUUAUUAGGGAAGAACAAAUGUGUAAGUAACUAUGCACGUCUUGACGGUACCUAAUCAGAAAGCCACGGCUAACUACGUG
RNAcentral lists this ribosomal RNA (497 nucleotides) under uncultured bacterium. RNAcentral's name for it is "partial 16S ribosomal RNA". It matches the Rfam family "Bacterial small subunit ribosomal RNA", at positions 28 to 507 of the family's 1533-position model. The record is from RNAcentral.